UGGGGAAUAUUGCACAAUGGGGGAAACCCUGAUGCAGCGACGCCGCGUGAGCGAAGAAGUAUUUCGGUAUGUAAAGCUCUAUCAGCAGGGAAAGAAAAAAUGACGGUACCUGAGUAAGAAGCACCGGCUAAAUACGUGCC
This 140-nucleotide ribosomal RNA is filed under the name uncultured bacterium. RNAcentral describes it as "partial 16S ribosomal RNA". It matches the Rfam family "Bacterial small subunit ribosomal RNA", at positions 355 to 509 of the family's 1533-position model. The record is from RNAcentral.